UAGUUGUCUUGAGUGAUUGUCACUAUUGUCUUACGUUCUUAUUGAAUGUAAUUUCCGUAGGCCUUUUGGCCAUGAACGGUUAUGAAAUUUCAAUAAAGAAAGAUUGGAAAAAAAUAUCGUCACAUCCAACGAUAUAUUGAUCAACCACCAAUCUCUACAAUGGGUGAUCAUAUUAGAACCCUGAAUGAAUUAUUCGCUCCUGCAUCCGCUAGUCCACCUACAUGUAUAGUGUUGCCAAUAAAUAACGCAACCCAAUUUGAAAUUCGGGCUGCGACAAUAAAUAUGCUACCCAAAUUUCAU
Molecule: long non-coding RNA, 300 nt
Filed under: Phoenix dactylifera (date palm)
Lineage: Eukaryota; Viridiplantae; Streptophyta; Magnoliopsida; Arecales; Arecaceae
Description: long non-coding RNA (PDAC_LNC010397)
Source: RNAcentral